Long non-coding RNA from Neofelis nebulosa (Clouded leopard), 1276 nucleotides. RefSeq lists it as uncharacterized. The transcript is spliced from 3 exons. The record is from RefSeq and is a predicted model, not a curated record. NCBI's taxonomy places the organism in Eukaryota, Metazoa, Chordata, Mammalia, Carnivora, Felidae.
CCGUUGCUAUUAACUGGGCGCUUACUACUUGCCUGGAGUGCUUUGUUAAUACAACAAUCCUAGGAUUUAACCCUCACCUCAGUUUCCCCAUAUCGAUUUAGAAACUGGCACACUGAAGCGAAGCAACUCGCCCAAGGUCACCUAGGAGGCGAGAGGUGGAAACAGAAUUGGACUCCAAAGCCAGCGUCCCUAACCACUAGACUAGACAGCCUUGGUUCCCACGUCCGAGACCUUGCCGGCUGCCGGCUCUCGGCCGCGGCGCAGCUCCCCCGGCCCGAGGAGCCCUCGGCCGCUGCGGGAGUGGGAGGCGCGCGCUUGCCGGCCAAGUCGGAGAGGAGGAGGGGCGCUCGCCGCCCGCAGCCGAGGCAGGGGCUGGCGGCGCUCGGCCGGCUCUCGGUCCCCGCAGCACCCGGGCCUCCCCGCGGUCCAGGUCCGAGCCUUGCUCCUGACCCAUUUACCUCCGGACAACCUCCCUCCUCCCCCGCCUAGCAGACUUCUAGGACUUCUCUAGGACUUCUCUCCGGAAGACUGAUAUCGCUACCUAGGAAUGUGAACAUUGGAACAAUAAUGUGCAAGGGAGGGCACUACUGGAAUCUGAAGAUGUAUCAGUUGCUGGAGAGCAUCCUCUGUGAUCCCAGAUACACAAUGAGAAGGCAAAAUUAAUGUCGAACAUACUCAAGACAUAGCAGGCUCUCAACAAAAAAUUAUUGCAUCAAUAAGGAACAAGCACUGGACUUUCUAAAUCUAUAAUGUCCCCAUUCUAUUCUCAACUCAAGGCACAAGCAUGAUUAGUUCAGUGGUUGAUGAGCAAACACCAGAUUAAGGUGAAAACUAACAGUAGUUUUUGGCCAUUUUUCCGUUUUUAAAUUUGACUUUGCUUUCUGCUGAUCCAGGAUGCAAUCAGUAGGUUAUAGCUGAGAUCUAAAUAGAUGAAAUGAAUUGCAGAUUCUUACCUUUAUAUUCCAGUGUGAAUUUAACACUUUGAAAAGAGAUGAACCUGAGUAAUUAAUUUAACAAACAUGUAUUAAGUCCUCACAAUGUGUCAGGUGUGGGAAUGCUGACUGGUAUCAUAACUGAUUUUGAACAAAUGUUUAACAUUCAAAAAUUAAUGAUUUUUUUGUAUACUAGGCCUAACCAAAUAUGACAGACUGAUAGAACUGCAAAGAACUAUGUUGGUAUGUGGCCAGAUUCAGGAUCUCUAAAUUCUCGAAUGCCAUUUUUCAGCAAUUACCACGAGAGAUUAGAACCUGAAUGAUAUGAUGCAUCGAACUAGAUA